AGAAGAAGAUGGCGACGAAGUGAAGGUGGAAGGUGUGGAAACAAAGAACGACAUUUACAAGAUAAUGCAAGUCCAUGAGGAAAAACAAUAGAAGAACCUAUUAGUUAUAGUGUUAAUAUGGUCUGCUUGACUUACCUUGAUCCUGAGUCUUGAGGUGCUGUCCAAUUUUUCUUGCAUGAACCUACCUGGAUUUGAACCACUUACCUUAUGUCCUGCUUGCCCUCUUCUURACCAGUAUACCAUCAGCUAGUUUGUUGAAGKURUAGKUUUUGAAGUACCUUAAAUCAUAGUGCUUUGUAUUGACGUGAAYAUGAAUGACCUAAUAAAAAUUCCAAUGAAUA
This is a long non-coding RNA of Actinia tenebrosa (Australian red waratah sea anemone), 341 nucleotides long. Lineage: Eukaryota; Metazoa; Cnidaria; Anthozoa; Actiniaria; Actiniidae. The record is from RefSeq and is a predicted model, not a curated record.